GACGUAGGUGGCGAACGUUAUCCGGAAUUAUUGGGCGUAAAGGAUGCGUAGGUGGUGUAGUAAGUUAUCGGUGGUAAAUCGAGGCUCAACCUCGUGGAAGUCGGUAAUACUGCUAUGCUAGAGGAUAGGAGAGGUUAACGGAACUCCCUGUGGAGCGGUGAAAUGCGUAGAUAUAGGGAAGAACACCAAUAAGGCGAAGGCAGUUAACUAUUCUACUCCUGACAUUGAGGCAUGAAAGCGUGGGGAGCAAAACGG
RNAcentral lists this ribosomal RNA (255 nucleotides) under uncultured bacterium. RNAcentral describes it as "partial 16S ribosomal RNA". It matches the Rfam family "Bacterial small subunit ribosomal RNA", at positions 524 to 776 of the family's 1533-position model. The record is from RNAcentral.